UUACCAAACUGUUGCCUCGGCGGGGUCACGCCCCGGGUGCGUCGCAGCCCCGGAACCAGGCGCCCGCCGGAGGAACCAACCAAACUCUUUCUGUAGUCCCCUCGCGGACGUAUUUCUUACAGCUCUGAGCAAAAAUUCAAAAUGAAUCAAAACUUUCAACAACGGAUCUCUUGGUUCUGGCAUCGAUGAAGAACGCAGCGAAAUGCGAUAAGUAAUGUGAAUUGCAGAAUUCAGUGAAUCAUCGAAUCUUUGAACGCACAUUGCGCCCGCCAGUAUUCUGGCGGGCAUGCCUGUCCGAGCGUCAUUUCAACCCUCGAACCCCUCCGGGGGAUCGGCGUUGGGGAUCGGGACCCCUCACACGGGUGCCGGCCCCUAAAUACAGUGGCGGUCUCGCCGCAGCCUCUCCUGCGCAGUAGUUUGCACAACUCGCACCGGGAGCGCGGCGCGUCCACGUCCGUAAAACACCCAACUUUCUGAAAUGUUGACCUCGGAUCAGGUAGGAAUACCCGCUGAACUUAAGCAUAUCAAUAAGCGGAGGAAA
RNAcentral lists this ribosomal RNA (541 nucleotides) under Trichoderma asperellum. RNAcentral describes it as "eukaryotic LSU rRNA". The stretch from base 151 to 304 matches the Rfam family "5.8S ribosomal RNA". Lineage: Eukaryota; Fungi; Ascomycota; Sordariomycetes; Hypocreales; Hypocreaceae. The record is from RNAcentral.